GAGUGAUUUAUGAAGAAUAUAAAAGUCUGUCCACUUCUACUUUAAAUUAAAGAUCAAUGUUCUCCACCCAAGUAUUGAGGUAACUAACCCAGAAAGCAGUCAACUAUUAUUGGGUAUCCGGCUCCAUAUUUUGCGGAGGUCAGUGCGAAAUGUAAAUGCGAAACCUUUUCCAGACUCACAGACCGAGUAUUAACCAAGCGGAGGCACCUCAGAGUUCCUGAUCGCACAUCGUGAAGCUGGAUCUAAGAAUAAGUUUUAAUGAUUGAAAUACUUUACGAAAUGCUUUAAUUAUUUAAUUAUUAUUUUUGAUUAUUAUUAUUAUUAUUAAAAUAAAAUGACUUUUUGAAAUAGGUACCGGCACAAGAAAACUUAAAAGGUAUAAACCUAUACUGUACAAAGAACGGGAAAUAACGGCAAAAAACUUCGUGUUAUUUCGGGAAGACGAAAAAGAGAAAGAUUUAAAAGAUGAAUUGAAGAGAUAACGAAGGACAACGAUGAAAAUCAUUCUCUAUUGAGAAAUGAAAAUUGGUUAGACGCGAAAAUUAGGCUGUUGAAAUCGUGAUAGUACCUGUACAUUAUAUAAAAUAAACU
Molecule: long non-coding RNA, 591 nt
Organism: Centruroides sculpturatus (bark scorpion)
Lineage: Eukaryota; Metazoa; Arthropoda; Arachnida; Scorpiones; Buthidae
Exons: 3
Source: RefSeq, a predicted model, not a curated record